UGAUGACGAGACGCUAAGGCGUUGAAGCAGUGUAUGUCAGACUUCCAAGAAAAGCUCGCAAUGUCACAAAUAAAAAUGCCUGUACCAUAACCGACACAGGUGGGUAGGUAGAGUAUACUAAGGGGCGCGAGAUAACUCUCUCUAAGGAACUCGGCAAAUGACUCCGUAACUUCGGGAGAAGGAGUGCCUUAUUUAUAAGGUUGCAAUAACAAGAUCCAAGCAACUGUUUAUCAAAAACACAGGUCUCUGCUAAGUCGUAAGACGAUGUAUGGGGGCUGACGCCUGCCCAGUGCCAGAAGGUUAAAGAAGUUGGUUAGUGUAUGCGAAGCUGAUGGCUGAAGCCCUGGUGAACGGCGGCCGUAACUAUAACGGUCCUAAGGUAGCGAAAUUCCUUGUCGGGUAAGUUCCGACCCGCACGAAAGGCGUAAUGAUUUGGAUACUGUCUCGGAGAGAGGCUCGGUGAAAUAGACUUGUCUGUGAAGAUGCGGACUACCUGCACCAGGACAGAAAGACCCUAUGAAGCUUUACUGUAACUUGAAAUUGGAAUUGGACUUUGCUUGCGCAGUAUAGGUGGGAAGCGUUGAAAAUAUUCUUGCGGGAGUAUUGGAGCUAUCAGUGAGAUACCACUCUUGUAAUGUUAGAUUUCUAACUUUGAACCAUAAUCUGGUCAAAGAACAGUUUCAGGUGGGCAGUUUGACUGGGGCGGUCGCCUCCCAAAUGGUAACGGAGGCGUACAAAGGUUUCCUCUGAACGGAUAGAAAUCGUAUCUAGAGUGUAAAGGCAUAAGGAAGCUUGACUGUGAGACCUACAAGUCGAGCAGGGACGAAAGUCGGUCUUAGUGAUCUGACGGUACUGAGUGGAAAGGCCGUCACUCAACGGAUAAAAGUUACUCUAAGGAUAACAGGCUGAUCUCCCCCAAGAGUUCACAUCGACGGGGAGGUUUGGCACCUCGAUGUCGGCUCAUCGCAUCCUGGGGCGGUAGUACGUCCCAAGGGUUGGGCUGUUCGCCCAUGAAAGCGGUACGCGAGCUGGGUUCAGAACGUCGUGAGACAGUUCGGUCCAUAUCCGGUGUAGGCGCUAGAAUAUUGAGAGGAGCCUUCUUUAGUACGAGAGGACCGAGAAGGACACACCGCUGGUGUACCAGUUAUCGUGCCAACGGUAAACGCUGGGUAGCUAUGUGUGGAGUGGAUAACCGCUGAAAGCAUCUAAGUGGGAAGCCCACCUCGAGAUGAG
This 1233-nucleotide ribosomal RNA is filed under the name metagenome. RNAcentral's name for it is "bacterial LSU rRNA". It matches the Rfam family "Bacterial large subunit ribosomal RNA", at positions 1564 to 2808 of the family's 2925-position model. The record is from RNAcentral.